GCGGGGGGGGGGAUUUGUCAUUGCCUAACGGCUGAACCAGCAACUUGGAGGAAUGUAUAGCGAAAGCUGGUUGUAUUAACUAUUAGUUUAUGCAGCAUCGACUUUGUCGAAUAAAAUUCUAGAUAGGAUUAUGAUGAUGACAUUAUCUAUCUACAUGUCUUGACCAAAUCACGUGCCAGCAGUCGCGGUAAUACGUGGUAGACUAGUGUUAUUCAUCUUUAAUUGGUUUAAAGGGUACUUAGACGGAAAAUUAAGCCCCUAUAGGGUACUAAUUUUCUAGAGUUUUAUGCGAGAGGGGGUGUAUUGAAGAGUGUAGAGAUGAAAUUUUUUAAUACCUUCUGGAACAGUCAACGGCGAAAGCAACCCUUUAUGUAAAAACUGACGUUGAAGGACGAAGGCUUGGUGCACCAACAGGAUUAGAGACCCUAGCAGUCCUAGCAGAAAAUUAUGAAUGUCAUAGAUUAGAUUAGAAUGUUAAUUAGAGUAUUCAAGUACUUUAAUUUUAAACAAUUCCUGGUUAUUUUUUUUAGCCAGAUAUUAAUUUUUGUCUAUAAAUGAAAGUGUAAGCAUUCCACCUCAAGAGUAAUGUGGCAACGCAGAAACUGAAAUCAUUAGACCGUUUCUGAAACCAGUAGUGAAGUAUGUUGUUUAAAUUGAUGAUCCACAAAAAACCUUACCACAAUUUGUAUAUUAUUUAUAAUACAAGAGUUGCACGGCUGUCUUCAGUUAAUGUCGUGAGAUUUUGGUUAAUUCCAUUAAUUAACGUAAACCCUUGCUUUAUUUUUUUUUUAAAGUAGUUCACCACUAUAUUGGAUUAGAUAACAGGGAAUAAGACAAGUCAUCAGACCUUAAUUUGGGGCUUAGAAGGGGG
This 871-nucleotide ribosomal RNA is filed under the name Baeomycetales sp. JL-2019c. Its description in RNAcentral is "partial small subunit ribosomal RNA". It matches the Rfam family "Bacterial small subunit ribosomal RNA", at positions 351 to 1224 of the family's 1533-position model. The record is from RNAcentral. Lineage: Eukaryota; Fungi; Ascomycota; Lecanoromycetes; Baeomycetales.